Molecule: ribosomal RNA, 253 nt
Filed under: uncultured bacterium
Lineage: Bacteria
Description: partial 16S ribosomal RNA
Rfam family: Bacterial small subunit ribosomal RNA
Source: RNAcentral
UACAGAGGUGGCAAGCGUUGUUCGGAUUUAUUGGGCGUAAAGGGUCCGUAGGCGGUUCGGAAAGUCAGAUGUGAAAUCCUACAGCUUAACUGUAGAACUGCAUUUGAAACUUCCGGACUAGAGUAUGAGAGGGGUUAAGGGAAUUCCCGGUGUAAGGGUGAAAUCUGCAGAGAUCGGGAGGAACACCAGUCGCGAAGGCGCUUAACUGGCUCAUUACUGACGCUCAGGGACGAAAGCUAGGGGAGCAAACGGG